CGGAUCGCGGCGACGUGAGCGGUUCGCUGCCCGCGACGUCGCGAGAAGUCCACUGAACCUUAUCAUUUAGAGGAAGGAGAAGUCG
RNAcentral lists this ribosomal RNA (85 nucleotides) under Crossopteryx febrifuga. RNAcentral describes it as "partial 18S ribosomal RNA". The record is from RNAcentral. Lineage: Eukaryota; Viridiplantae; Streptophyta; Magnoliopsida; Gentianales; Rubiaceae.